UGAGGAAUAUUGGUCAAUGGACGGAAGUCUGAACCAGCCAAGUAGCGUGCAGGAUGACGGCCCUAUGGGUUGUAAACUGCUUUUGUAUGGGGAUAAAGUUAGGGACGUGUCCCUAUUUGCAGGUACCAUACGAAUAAGGACCGGCUAAUUCCGUGCCAGCAGCCGCGGUAAUACGGAAGGUCCAGGCGUUAUCCGGAUUUAUUGGGUUUAAAGGGAGCGUAGGCUGGAGAUUAAGUGUGUUGUGAAAUGUAGACGCUCAACGUCUGAAUUGCAGCGCAUACUGGUUUCCUUGAGUACGCACAACGUUGGCGGAAUUCGUCGUGUAGCGGUGAAAUGCUUAGAUAUGACGAAGGACUCCGAUUGCGAAGGCAGCUGACGGGAGCGCAACUGACGCUUAAGCUCGAAGGUGCGGGUAUCAAACAGGAUUAGAUACCCUGGUAGUCCGCACAGUAAACGAUGGAUGCCCGCUGUUGGUACCUGGUAUCAGCGGCUAAGCGAAAGCAUUAAGCAUCCCACCUGGGGAGUACGCCGGCNCGGU
RNAcentral lists this ribosomal RNA (538 nucleotides) under uncultured bacterium. RNAcentral describes it as "bacterial SSU rRNA". It matches the Rfam family "Bacterial small subunit ribosomal RNA", at positions 355 to 895 of the family's 1533-position model. The record is from RNAcentral.